This 615-nucleotide ribosomal RNA is filed under the name Riemerella anatipestifer. RNAcentral describes it as "bacterial SSU rRNA". Lineage: Bacteria; Pseudomonadati; Bacteroidota; Flavobacteriia; Flavobacteriales; Weeksellaceae. The record is from RNAcentral.
GUUGAUACUGCUAGUCUUGAGUAUAGUUGAGGUAGCUGGAAUGAGUAGUGUAGCGGUGAAAUGCAUAGAUAUUACUCAGAACACCGAUUGCGAAGGCAGGUUACCAAGUUAUAACUGACGCUGAGGGACGAAAGCGUGGGGAGCGAACAGGAUUAGAUACCCUGGUAGUCCACGCCGUAAACGAUGCUAACUCGUUUUUGGGCUAUAUGGUUCAGAGACUAAGCGAAAGUGAUAAGUUAGCCACCUGGGGAGUACGACCGCAAGGUUGAAACUCAAAGGAAUUGACGGGGGCCCGCACAAGCGGUGGAUCAUGUGGUUUAAUUCGAUGAUACGCGAGGAACCUUACCAAGGCUUAAAUGGGAAUUGAUAGCUGUAGAAAUACGGUUUUCUUCGGACAAUUUUCAAGGUGCUGCAUGGUUGUCGUCAGCUCGUGCCGUGAGGUGUUAGGUUAAGUCCUGCAACGAGCGCAACCCCUGUCACUAGUUGCCAUCAUUAAGUUGGGGACUCUAGUGAGACUGCCUACGCAAGUAGAGAGGAAGGUGGGGAUGACGUCAAAUCAUCACGGCCCUUACGCCUUGGGCCACACACGUGAUACACAUGCUMGUAGGUGACCCC